Molecule: small nucleolar RNA, 143 nt
Organism: Acomys russatus (golden spiny mouse)
Lineage: Eukaryota; Metazoa; Chordata; Mammalia; Rodentia; Muridae
Product: small nucleolar RNA SNORA48
Exons: 1
Source: RefSeq, a predicted model, not a curated record
UUCUUCUGGCAAUGUGAAAAAAAAGUCUUGUUGGUGACAUUGCUCUUAUAUCAGUCAGGGGCAGAUCAGAUGGCAGAACUUUGUUCAUGCUAGCUCGAUGCCUGCCUUUGUGGCCCAAGCUGCUUAAUGCCUAGGACACAUAA